UACGGAGGGUACGAACGUUAAUCGGAAUUACUGGGCGUAAAGCGCGCGUAGGCGGUUUGAUAAGUGGGAUGUGAAAGCCCCGGGCUCAACCUGGGAACUGCAUUCCAAACUGUCAAACUAGAGUGUGGUAGAGGGAGGUAGAAUUUCCUGUGUAGCGGUGAAAUGCGUAGAUAUAGGAAGGAAUACCGAUGGCGAAGGCAGCCUCCUGGACCAACACUGACGCUGAGGUGCGAAAGCGUGGGGAGCAAACAGG
RNAcentral lists this ribosomal RNA (253 nucleotides) under uncultured bacterium. RNAcentral's name for it is "partial 16S ribosomal RNA". It matches the Rfam family "Bacterial small subunit ribosomal RNA", at positions 524 to 776 of the family's 1533-position model. The record is from RNAcentral.